This 1502-nucleotide ribosomal RNA is filed under the name Candidatus Nomurabacteria bacterium GW2011_GWD2_36_14. RNAcentral describes it as "16S ribosomal RNA". It matches the Rfam family "Bacterial small subunit ribosomal RNA". The record is from RNAcentral. Lineage: Bacteria; Candidatus Nomuraibacteriota.
AAGUAGAGUUUGAUCCUAGCUCAGGAUGAACGCUGGCGGCGUGGAUAAGGCAUGCAAGUCGAACGGACUUUAUUUUUCCGAUGAUGAGAUUACAUCAAGUCAAAGGUCGUUUAAAGUUAGUGGCGAACGAGGUAGUAAUACAUAGGAACUUCCCCCUAAGUCGUGAACAACUCACCGAAAGGUGAGCUAAUACACGAUAGUCUCUCCGGAGUAAAGUUUUUCGCUUAGGGAAAGGCCUGUGAAGUAUCAGCUAGUUGGCGGUGUAAAGGACCACCAAGGCUAUGACGCUUAGGGGAGCUGAGAGGCUGACCCCCACCGAUGGGACUGAGACACGGCCCAUACACCUACGGGUUAUUGACGGUACCUCAUGAAUAAGGGGCUCCUAAUCUCGUGCCAGCAGGAGCGGUAAUACGAGAGCCCCGAGCGUUAUCCGGAAUUAUUGGGCGUAAAGGGUGCGUAGGUGGCACUGUUAGUCGUUUGUCAAAUCCUUGGGCUUAACCUAAGAACCGCGAACGAAACGGCAGAGCUAGAGAGUGUGAGGGGUAUAGGGAACUAAUAGUGUAGGGGUGAAAUCCGUUGAUAUUAUUGGGAACACCAAAAGCGAAGGCACUAUACUGGCACAUAUCUGACACUCAAGCACGAAAGCGUGGGUAGCGAAUGGGAUUAGAUACCCCAGUAGUCCACGCCCUAAACGAUGAUCUCUAGUCUUUCGGAGUAUCGACCCUCUGAGAGACGUAGCUAACGCGUUAAGAGAUCCGCCUGGGAAAUACGGCCGCAAGGCUAAAACUCAAAGGAAUAGACGGGGACUUGCACAAGUAGUGGAUUAUGUGGUUUAAUUCGACGAUAAACGAAGAACCUUACCAAGGUUAGAAAUCAACGUGAAAGCCCUGAGAAACCAGGGCCCUCGCAAGACUAGUUGACAGGUGAUGCAUGGCCGUCGUCAGUUCGUGGUUUGAAUUGUUCCCUUAAGUGGGGUAACGAACGCAACCCUCGUCGUGUGUUAUAAGUGUCACACGAGACUGCCCCGACCCAAGCGGAUAAAAGUUGAAAGUUAAAAGUUCAUAAAGUUCAUAAAGUAAAAUGCAUUUUGCAUUCACUUUAUAACUUUACACUUUAUAAAACUUUAUAACUAUUUGUACGUUUCGGUCGGGGAGGAAGGGGAGGAUGACGCCAGGUCAGCAUGUCCCUUGAUACCUUGGGCUACACACAUAAUACAAUCGCAAUUACAACGGGCAGCGACGGGGUAACCCUGAGCGAAUCCUAUAAAAAUUGCGCCAGUUCGGAUUGGGGGCUGCAACUCGACCCCAUGAAGUUGGAAUUACUAGUAAUCGCGGGUCAGACAUACCGCGGUGAAUACGUUCUCAAGUCUUGUACUCACCGCCCGUCAAUUCAAGGGAGCCGGGAAUACUCGAAAUCUCUCCAGAAGGAGGGCCUACAGUAAGCUCGGUGACAGGGAAUAAGUCGUAACAAGGCACGGGUAGCGGAAGCUGUUCGUGGAAUAA